AUAUAGGUGAAUAUUAAAAAAUGUAUUGAAAACUGAGGUCAGGAUUUUCUACGUUUGUUGUCAUUCUCGGAUAUGAUUUUUUCUCUUUAUUUCCCAGAGUUGAAUAUUUAAUCAUUGAUCGACGGCUUGUAAUUCUCAGUUUCAUAUUCAACUGUACCCCCUCGUCGCGUGUCAACUGUUGGUUCGUCGGCAGUUAUGACAAAUAUUUAUAUCGACAUCAAUCAACACGACAUUUAAACUUUGUUUACAGCAAAUUUGAAUGAUAUGAAAAUCUAAGCUCUCACAUUGAUUGAAGUUAAUAAAACUAAUUAAAAAAUUGGAAAUUGCCCAAAACGCAACUAGUCACGAGCACACAGUGAGAGAUGUGGUCCAUUGAACGAUGGAGAGAAAACUGAAAUUUAAAGGGGUUUAUCAAAUACACAAAGUAGCACUUCAUUCAAAAAGUUGGAACUUAAUUUUGAACGAAAUUACAUUGCUUUUGGUGCACCAGUCAAGUUAUUUUUGUUUUCAUGUUUGUAUUAUCUGUGAAUAUAGUUGUUGGUCCUCUAAAGAAACAUUCAAAUAACCGAUUGCUUCAUCUUUAUCAAAC
RNAcentral lists this long non-coding RNA (589 nucleotides) under Mytilus galloprovincialis (Mediterranean mussel). The record is from RNAcentral. Lineage: Eukaryota; Metazoa; Mollusca; Bivalvia; Mytilida; Mytilidae.